UCAUUUCUGUGAUUGAAAACAAGACAGGAAUGGUGUUUCAUUCACAAGCUCAUAUUUAGGCAAACCCUUGAAUGUUUUUAGGCUAAGUCCUGCAGAACAGCACUGGAGACCCCUUGUGGAAUAUGUUUGCCAUCACACCUAUGAAACUCGUGGAAUCCCUUGGAUUUCGUUCUUGACAAAUGCAGAAGUGAUGCAAUUACAUUUAAAUUGUUUUCUGGAGGCAACAAUUCAGUCAAUGUGAUUGAGAAACCAAAACAAACAUUCCAUUAUGUUUUCCUACAUUGCUUCUAACGGCAGAGGAGAUAAAUUGUAAGACUGCAAACCAAGUGCAAUGUAGCCUACUGCAUCUAUUACCAUAAUUUGCAAUAUUAUAAUACGUUCCUUUUUUUUACUCAAAGUUGCUGUGUCAUUUUUGAUGAAAGUCAAACAAAUGUUUUUAAACAAAUAAUGUGAGUGGUAACAUUAUUUUGUAAUCAGUCAAAGAAGUGAACUACAGACAUAACGAGGAAAUGGGAAACACGAAAAUAAGAGUCUCAAUUAUACAAGGCUAAAUUGUAUGCAAUUAUGCUGAAUGUUUGCAUUAACAAUGGUACUGUAAUUUCUGUAUUUAAAUGGAACUGAUCACCACUAAAUGAAUGAAUGAAUGAAUCAAUCAAUCAAUCAAUCAAAAACGUCAAUAUUUAACUUCCUCUAUAGUCUACAACAACAACUUUUUUGGUGAGUGAAGCAACACGUAAAAUACACAUAAAAUAGUAGUUUUUGAAUGGUUUUAAGUGUAAGUGCAGUUGUUAUUCAUGUGCAGAAGUAUUCACAGCAUACUUUCGAAUGACCUUUAUGUCUGUUUUGGGUGAUGUUGAAUUACUGGGCUAGCUGAGAUCAUGACAAGUUCUGUCUCUGUUAGGUUGAGUUGAAGGUGAUGUUCUUGCACUCAGGCUGCGAGACGUCUGCCAGUCCAUGAUCUGUGCCCUGGCUUUUGUGGAAAAUAUGUCCAUCCUGGAGGCUGAGGAGAAAUUUCUGCAAGGACCUUUCAUUUACUUAAGUGAUCGGGAACAUUUUGACUCGAGGAUUGAACAACAGUUAAAAGAGAGUCAUCAACAGGAAUCAUCCUAGUUCAUGUUUUUUUUAUGAAAUAAAAUGUAAUAAAUGGUGAUAAUAAAUAAUAUUGUUGUACACAAAAAGUUGUCUUUUCUUCUCAGAUAGCUGAAUGGCCC
Molecule: long non-coding RNA, 1211 nt
Organism: Carassius carassius (crucian carp)
Lineage: Eukaryota; Metazoa; Chordata; Actinopteri; Cypriniformes; Cyprinidae
Exons: 3
Source: RefSeq, a predicted model, not a curated record